This 87-nucleotide transfer RNA is filed under the name Gammaproteobacteria bacterium. Its description in RNAcentral is "tRNA-Leu". It matches the Rfam family "tRNA". Rfam says of the family: Transfer RNA (tRNA) molecules are approximately 80 nucleotides in length. Their secondary structure includes four short double-helical elements and three loops (D, anti-codon, and T loops). Lineage: Bacteria; Pseudomonadati; Pseudomonadota; Gammaproteobacteria. The record is from RNAcentral.
GCCCGGAUGGCGAAAUCGGUAGACGCAAGGGACUUAAAAUCCCUCGGCCGCAAGGCUGUGCGGGUUCGAUUCCCGCUCCGGGCACCA